Schistosoma haematobium is the source of this 45-nucleotide non-coding RNA. Lineage: Eukaryota; Metazoa; Platyhelminthes; Trematoda; Strigeidida; Schistosomatidae. The record is from Rfam.
ACUCAGCUGACGAGUUCCGAAUAGGACGAGACUCUAGUUCUGGGU